RNAcentral lists this transfer RNA (67 nucleotides) under Pygmaeconus traillii. RNAcentral describes it as "tRNA-Pro". Lineage: Eukaryota; Metazoa; Mollusca; Gastropoda; Neogastropoda; Conidae. The record is from RNAcentral.
GGAUUUAUAAUUUAACUAAAAUGUUAGCAUUGGAAGCUAAAAAUCAGAAAUAUGUUCUGUAUUCCGA